UCUUUUGUGGUAUUUCUAGAUCCUUACCAAGCAGUGAUGAUAUAUGCCUUCUCUCAAAGUAUGUAGUAUUUGUGGUAUGAAGCAUAGUGACCUUGCCUUCUCUCUCAUACUACUUUAACAAGGCUUUUGAUAUCUGGAGCUCAUAGGUGGGAGAUAAAGUAUACAUACUUACAAGACAUUUAUUGCAUAGUCAAACCAUGGAUCCAGAGAAACAAGUCAAUAAGUCAAAUCAACAUGUGCAUGUGUGGCGAAUGAAUGGUGUAUGGUGAUGAUGGUGAUAACAAUGGUGAAAGUCUAAUUCUACUUUUUGCUCUUUUGAGGAGAUACAUACCUUUCUUGCUCUUUUGAAACUUUUUGAGGAGAAUGAGAUUAUCUACAUUUUAUUUUUCUUUCCUCUCAGGUGGGUAUUGCACUCCUAAUUCUACUGUCGGGCACUUGUCCAUUUUUACCUCUCGUCUCACUUUUUCUUUUCUUUCGAGGUUCCGAGCACUUGCCCCUUUUUAUUUCCUCGUAUCCUUUUUCUCUCUCUUCUUUUUUUUAGAGCACUCAUUUCCUGAAAUAAUAUAGCAAGUGGUAGUAACCAAGAUAACUCGAGUAUUUAUUUCACAGGAAAAAACAGAAAUAGGAGAAUGUUUUUGGCUAUGCUCUCCCGGAUUAGGAGUAGAAUACUUUUGGGUGGCUCUAGAGAUGGAAAUGAGUGGAUAUAUGUGGAUGCGUACUUCCGGAGUAGAAGCAGCAUGUGUGAGUGAACGUGCAAGUGAAUCUUGAUUUAACCACACGAGAAGCUCCUAAGGGUCUACACAGCUUGACCACACUCAAUGCUCAUAAGCAGUAAAAAGUAAAUGUGUGGCUCAAAGUCUAGCAAGCAUGUAUAUAUGGCUGUGGUAGAAAUUUAAACUCUCAUCAUACAGGAACUCAUCAUGUGUUAUUUUAAAGAUUUUCAAAGAUAAAAUUCUGUAGAUUUCUAGCAUCUCUAUGAAUAGAUAAACAACAACUCAACCUUCUCAUAUCAUAUCCGUUAACAACUUAGACUUUCGAUCAAGUUCUCUUCCCAUAAGUUUAGGUUUUUAGAGCAAGCUUUAAAUUAUAGCAGUUAUGUCUAAACUAGAGAGAGAACUUCAAAUUUAAAAAUUAGGCAGAGCAACUAUUCAUCAUAUCCAUGCUAGAGUUUUAUUAUUAAGAUUCAGUUUAGCAUAGCCACUUUAUUUAUUUAUUAAGCACACUAAGCAAAAGAUAUAUAUAUAAGCACAAAAUAUUUAUUUGGUUUUUCAUGGUUAUGUAUAUAUAUUUUUUAUUUUAAUAUAGUAUAAGUAUAUAGAUAGAUAGAAAUACUUAAUGUGAUAACUAGGGGUGCCCAGCAGGUGGCAAAGGUGUAUUUGGGAGCACCCUGACAGCGAUUAGAAUGUCCUCCGUCUGCUAGUCUUCUUGAUCCUUGAAUUCUGUGAAGCUCAAAUAGACAACAAAGCUUUGUGGAACUGAUUAGGUGUUAGCAUAAAUAUCUAGCCUUUAUCAUGUUGAGCCUCCUCAAUAAAUGAUACUUUCUUUGGUAGGAUCACAAUUUUAUUUUUAUAUUUUCAUUUUUAUAGAGCAGAAGAAUAUUUUUAUUUUAUUAUUAUUAUUAUUGUUUUUAUGCCACCACAGUGAAUGUACUUAUGGGUUUUAUGCCACUUGUAUACUCACAUGGGGCAUAUUGGUUUUAACAUUUUUAUUUUCUUCUUUUCAAGAUGAUAUUAACCUGAUUUACUAAGGAAGCUAUUUUAAAUAAUUGUAAGGAAAAGGAUAACUACCAAGUUUACCUCUUGGCAAGGCGUUUGGUGUUUUUAAGUCCUCCGAACGGGACUCUCUGUUUUCUCAGUCGUCCUGGGAUUCGCUGAAUGAAACAUUGGCGGUCUUCUGGUUUGGACGAAGCUUUGCGCUGAAGUGUUGACGAUCUGAGCUUGGCUCUGGUUUUUCUGAAUAAUGCUUCGAGGUUGUCAACAAAAUUUCCUGGAAGAUGUCUUCUAUUCAUAAAUUACCCUACAUAAAAUAAUCAAAAUAGAAAAAUACAGGGGUAAAGCUCUAUGAGAGAAUUGAUAAUCUCAAUCAUAUUAGUGAUGCGAAUGAUGACUCAAAAUUCCAUAUUCAUUCCUUAUUAGUAAUCAACCGUCUUUGGCAACGGCGCCAAAAAUGCUUGUUGGGCAUUCUUAACGUCAUUACCCAAAGUAGACUUAGUUUUCUAAUUCUGAUAACGACGCCAAAAAUGUCAAACCUAUCCCUCAUGCCACUUAAGCCAAGUUGUCAUCCCCAGCAUGACAUGAGAGAAGCGGUAUUGAAAUAUGCAAUUGCUCUUCUGAAUAAAUAAUAAAUGAGAUCUGCAAGUGCACAGAUUAAUACCGAUGUAGCAUUUUAACCGGGAAGUAUUCUAGAUAUCGUUAUUUAUAUUUUUACCACUGGGAAGGGAUUGCUAAUCAUCAAUGUUG
This 2459-nucleotide long non-coding RNA is filed under the name Sorghum bicolor (sorghum). Its description in RNAcentral is "long non-coding RNA (SBIC_LNC002454)". Lineage: Eukaryota; Viridiplantae; Streptophyta; Magnoliopsida; Poales; Poaceae. The record is from RNAcentral.